GUUAAACUAGUCACAUUAGAGUCAGGAUUUGAACCCAGGCAGUCUGGCUUCAACGCCAAGCUUCCCCUCAAUCACUUCUACCAUCAGAUAAUAUUGCUUCAUACUCACAGUGUUAGCACCAAGAAUGUAAGUUUAGCUAACUGAUCAUAUGAAUUUUGUUGAAAUUCUGUUUAUUUUUCUUCCAGAGAACUCAAUAUGGAACACUUUUUCUCUUUUGAUUCAGACAACCUAUGGAGAUUUUGAUCCUGUACUGAAAGGAACUGAAUGUGGAAAUUUUUGGAGUGUCCAUUCAAUGCCUCCCUGGAGUCUCUGCCAAAGGAAACAUUAGACACGACUCUGUCUGGAUCCAGCUACUACAUCUAUGAUGCUGUGGAUGUGGUGGCCUGAGCCCUCCAUGAAAUACUUUUUAUAAAAGCAGAACAGGGGUCCAUAAUGGAUGCAGGCCAGCUCAUGUUUCUCCCUUAGCAGGUUGCAAGUAAACCUCUAAUGAUUGUAGGGUCUAAUUAGCAACAGUGUCAACUCUUUUAACUAGAAAUAAUUGAUUAAAAACUUUCACUGUGAGAGGUAGGAAGAAGCAGGCUGUCUUUCUUUGUCUCUUCUUGAGCUCAAGGAAACUCCCUAGCACCCCUAAAGCAAACCUCAUUGCUCAAGCUCCACCCAUUCCUAAGAAACACCCAAUUUAAAAAAAGCACUGGAGCUCACGUGUCACUGGAUGAGAAAAGAAACUCUGUGUCACAGCAUAUAAUUCUGAACUAUAUGAUUUUCCUAAAGGUCUUGGACUUCAGGUGAAAGACGUUCUGUCAGCCAGGAUUCAGGAACAUCCCUCAGGAAGAGAGAGCUACCUGCUGCUUUGUCUGUGUAUUGUGCCCAGAGAGAGAAAUAUGUAAUCAGACAGAAAAGAAAAGUGUCUGUGGGGCUCAAGUUUGAGUUGAAACCAGGCUCAGGGUCCACCUGUCCUCGCUGAUCCGUGGAUUUCUGUGUGACCAGCUGACACCUAUGGAGCUGUGGCCCUGACUACUACCAGCUUGCUCAUCCCUCUACUCACACAGUCACCCCUCCCCUCACUCUCAUUUAUGCUUCACCUGUGAAUGGUGGUCCUGGGACAGCCACUGCUGGAGCCCGGGUGAGCCUGGGGGCUCCUCCCACUCUGUCCCUCCCUGAUGACAGCCCUCGCCACAGCUCCCGAGCCAGCCACCACGUCCCUGCAUACUUCAUCAUCACCUGUGCCACCAGAAGCCACCACAGCUUUGGGACACAACCUGAAGACCCUCACAGUCACCUUCCCCAUCUCCACCCUCCAGUAUUCAUCAGACAGGAGCAACGGCUCAGCCACGUUCCACUCCACUGAGAGGGUCCUGCAGAGCCUGGUGAGACCCUGGUUCCAGCAGCUCCUGGCCUGAGAAGGAUGGGGAAGCCACCGGUGUGGACGCUGUCUGCACCCACCGCCGUGACCCCGUG
This is a long non-coding RNA of Diceros bicornis minor, 1458 nucleotides long. RefSeq lists it as uncharacterized. Lineage: Eukaryota; Metazoa; Chordata; Mammalia; Perissodactyla; Rhinocerotidae. The record is from RefSeq and is a predicted model, not a curated record. The transcript has 11 exons.